AUAGUACAGAGGCAUCUCUGUAGCAGACUAAAAUAAUACAUAUAAUGACGGCAUCUAAAUCAAUGGCAUCUCGCCUACCUGGCAAAGCAUAAAACGAGCCUGGCCACCACCUGAUCAGCCUCCCCCUCUGGGGUGACCUAGCUGGCUGGGCGGGUGGCGAAGUAACUAGAGCAUAAGUUGAGGGCUGACCCCUCUGCUGGGACUAACUGGUGGCACGACGAGGAAACUGCCUCCACAAAUGCCCAUAAUCUACACACUCAAAACAACUCCCAGGUAUGGGAGAAGGGGACUGAUGGGAACCCCUCGCACCGGAGUGACCAGCUGAUGAACUCGGCAUGGAAGAAACCUGAGCUGACGGGGCACAAGAUGUUCUAUAAGCUGGGAGGGCGCUGACAGAAGGCUGGCUUUGUUGAGACCCAUGAUAACCAUGACCUGAAGACGCCCCACAAUACUCUGGACGAGCUGACUGGGCAUGCCUGAAAGAACGACCCCUACCAUGCUAGAACUGGACCCUUAAGGGAGCACUAAUGAAAAUGCCAGAACCUCGAGGCCUCUUGGCCUCUCUCUCCUCCCUAACCUGACGAUGAACCAUCUCAAUCUCACGAGCGAUAUCAACCACCUCCUCAAAUGUAUCACCUAAUACUCUCUCUCUCUCUAGUCAUCAAGAUACGGAGAUGGUAGCAAAGGCCAUCAACAAACCUCCUAAUCCUCUCACGAUCUGUCGGAACCAUCCAUACGGCAUGAUGAGCCAACUUAGAAAAUUGUGACUCAUAUUGUGACACAGUCAUAUCUCCCUGUAACAGCCACUUGAGCUGUCUACGUAGCUCCUCUCUACGGGACUGCGGUACAUACUUCUCCAAGAAGAGAGUGGAGAACUGUUACCAAGUAAGGGGCACUGCACCAACCUGCCUACGCCUCCUACCAAGUGAAGGUGACCCUAGUAAAUUGAAAGGUGGUAAAUGCCACACCACUAAUCUUAAGAAUCCAUGUUAUAUGGAGCAUCUGCUAACAUUUAUCUGGAAAACCCUAGGCAUCCUCACCCUCAGCACCACUGAAUGACGGAGGCUGGAGUCUACCAAACCUCUCAAGACGAUGAUGCUCAUCAUCCGGCAUAACUGGUACCAUAAACUCCUAAACUGGUGCAACCGGCAGGGCUAGGGGUGCCUACGGUGUCUGUAGCUCCUGCACUACCUACUCAGGUGUACAAGCAGUGGGGUUCUGAUUACCUCCCCCAGCCUAUGAAGUAGAUGCUGCUGUGGUAGCUGAAACUGCCAAAGCCAGGCCAGUGCAAACUGUCAAGAUCUAGGCCAAGGUCUCCUGUAGACCCGAAAUUAUGAUGGGCACAGCUGGUUCCUGAGCUGGUGUUGCUGCUGGAGCCUGAUCCGGAGCCGAGGCAGCUGGUGGGUC
This 1407-nucleotide long non-coding RNA is filed under the name Nicotiana benthamiana. RNAcentral's name for it is "long non-coding RNA (NBEN_LNC033482)". Lineage: Eukaryota; Viridiplantae; Streptophyta; Magnoliopsida; Solanales; Solanaceae. The record is from RNAcentral.